This 586-nucleotide ribosomal RNA is filed under the name uncultured bacterium. Its description in RNAcentral is "bacterial SSU rRNA". It matches the Rfam family "Bacterial small subunit ribosomal RNA", at positions 102 to 684 of the family's 1533-position model. The record is from RNAcentral.
ACGGGUGAGUAAUGCGUCGGAACGUGCCGAGUAGUGGGGGAUAACUAUCCGAAAGGAUAGCUAAUACCGCAUACGCUUUGAGAAGGAAAGCAGGGGAUCGUAAGACCUUGCGCUAUUCGAGCGGCCGACGUCUGAUUAGCUAGUUGGUGAGGUAAAGGCUCGCCAAGGCAUCGAUCAGUAGCGGGUCUGAGAGGAUGAUCCGCCACACUGGGACUGAGACACGGCCCAGACUCCUACGGGAGGCAGCAGUGGGGAAUUUUGGACAAUGGGCGCAAGCCUGAUCCAGCCAUGCCGCGUGUCUGAAGAAGGCCUUCGGGUUGUAAAGGACUUUUGUCAGGGAGGAAAUCCCUAGCGCUAAUAUCGCUGGGGGAUGACAGUACCUGAAGAAUAAGCACCGGCUAACUACGUGCCAGCAGCCGCGGUAAUACGUAGGGUGCAAGCGUUAAUCGGAAUUACUGGGCGUAAAGCGUGCGCAGGCGGUUGUGUAAGUCUGAUGUGAAAGCCCCGGGCUUAACCUGGGAACUGCAUUGGAGACUGCACAGCUAGAGUGCGUCAGAGGGGGGUAGAAUUCCGCGUGUAGCAGUGA